UACGAAGGGGGGCUAGCGUUGUUCGGAAUUACUGGGCGUAAAGCGCACGUAGGCGGAUCGAUCAGUCAGGGGGUGAAAUCCCAGAGCUCAACUCUGGAACUGCCUUUUGAUACUGUCGAUCUAGAGUAUGGAAGAGGUGAGUGGAAAUUCCGAGUGUAGAGGUGAAAAUUCGUAGAUAUUCGGAGGAACACCAGUGGCGAAGGCGGCUCACUGGUCCAUUACUGACGCUGAGGUGCGAAAAGCGUGGGGGAGCAAACAGGG
RNAcentral lists this ribosomal RNA (261 nucleotides) under uncultured bacterium. Its description in RNAcentral is "partial 16S ribosomal RNA". It matches the Rfam family "Bacterial small subunit ribosomal RNA", at positions 524 to 777 of the family's 1533-position model. The record is from RNAcentral.